GUGUCUUAUUUCUAAUCAGACCAGUGCCUGGAAUAGCGCCUGGCACAGAGCAGGCACUUUAAAUGUUUCUUGACUGGCACGUUUGCUGUAAACACUUCAUUGAUUUCAAGUCAAUUUUUAUAUAUAAUUUAGGUGCUGGUUAAAAAACUUUUACUAUAAAAAAAAACUUUUAUUGCUACCGAUUGCAUUUCUUUUUUUUUUUUUUUUUGCAUUUCUAAAGACAAGAGGGAUAGGAUAUUUGAAAUACUGUGCACAGCGUAUGUGUAACUUUUUGCUUCUAUAGGCGAUAUAGUGGGUCUGUAUGAUGAAGGCAAUCAGCUGGCCACAGGGAUCCUGACACGGAUCACACAGAGAUCAGUCACAGUAGCCUUUGAUGCGUCUCAUGAUUUCCAGCUGAGCUUGGACCGGGACCGGGAGCGGGGCCUACAGACUGUUAAAACUUGCCAAUGACAUCACUUACAAGCGACUGAAAAAGUAAGAGUUUGUGUGACUGGGAAUCAAGUUUCUUUUCUUUUUUUUUUCUUUUCUUUUUUUUUUUUUUUUAAGAUUUUGCUUAUUCAUGAGAGACAGAGAGGCGGAGACAUAGGCAGAGGGAGAAGCAGGCUCCCUAUGGGAAGCCUGAUGCAGGACUCGAUCCCAGGACUCUGGGAUCACAUACUGAGCCACGCAGGCAUCCUAUUUUCUUCCAGUACUGCACACUUACCCUGACUGCUUGCCUCUGUGGGUAGAAGAGAGCAAUUGUGUUGAGUGUGGAGUCUGUGUGGGCCCCUCACGGGAUAUGGAGGCUGCAGGUGGCCUUUGCUGGGCAGAGGGUUGGGCACAGAUUCAAUAUUUGGUGUUCACCACACUCCUAAUUCUACUCUGUUGGCAGGGCUCUGAUAACACUAAAGAAGUACCAUUCUGGCCCCGCGUCCUCACUCAUAGAGGUCCUCUUUGGCGGAUCAGCCCCCAGUCCAGCCAGCAAUACAGACUUCAAGGCAGCAUAAAUUGAAAAAGAUCCAGAAAUUCACAGGUCAGAGAGAUCUUAUACUUUAUUCUUUAGCUCAAGGCUAAUGACAAAUCAACAGUGGGUCUGCUUUUAGACUGUAGACUUUAAUAACAGGGAGAGGGAGGUAGGUUGAAAAAGAUUGUAUAAGUGAAAGAAAUGUGCCUAUUCUUCCUAACAUCUGCAAAGAUGCUGAAUUCUUUCUGGUAACUUCCAAAGAGAUGUAAACUGAUUUAUAGUUCUUUCUAUGCUUCUGUUCCUCAUGCUUUCUUUCCUAAUUUCCUUUUAUGCAAAACUCAAAGUAUCAGGAAAGAAAUUUGAUGAGAUCUUUAGUGGGGGAAGUUUCGAUACAUUUUUCCCCUGCCAUAGACGCUGAAUAGACUCCUUUGAAGGAAAAAAUAUGUAUUACAGAUUUAUUUCCCUUACUCCAACUCCCUACUACCAUGAUUGUUCCAGCUGUUUCCAAUGACUUACAUCCACUACAUGGUAAAGGUGGCACAGUAUAUUUUAAAAUAUAAAAACUUAGACCUACAUUACGUCUGAGCUCUAUCACUACUUAACUUUAUGAUCCUGGACAUGAUUUCACCUUCGAUCUCUUCUUUGUAAAACAAGUGGCUUGAACUAGGUGGUAUCAAUAAUUAUGAUUCUAACAGAUUCUUUACCUCUGCUCCCAGCUUCCCAGUGGGAAGAAAAUCUCAGAAUGGGUUGCUCUGAAGCUAACCUGACAAAGUGAGUAAAAUUGAUCGUCACUAUUUAUUCUUUCUUUCUUCAGCCUACCCUACUGAUAAACCCUGUAAAAUUAGGAGAAAGAUACCUAGUACUGUUUUACUUUUCUGACUGAUAGUAGUUUCCUUUCUAACUUAAGCCACUCUUCUUAUUGGUUUCCUUAUUAGUACUUUUAAUAUCACUUCAAUUACACUGACACACUCUGUUGUAUCCAGCUUUUCAAGACUCCCUGUGGGAUGGGCCCAGGAAUAUAUACUCUGGUCAAUGAACAGAAGUCUUCAACAGAUCUUCAAACAUCUGGAAUGCACAAGGUCAGGGAAGGUAGUUUCUGGGUGGGGGUUGAAAGUGAUGGAAGUUUUUGGUAUUUUUUUUUUUUAGGUAAACUCUACCCCCAAUGUGGGGCGCAAACUCACAGUCCCGAGAUCAAAAAUUCCAUGCUAUACUGACUGAGGCAGCCAGGUACCCCCAAGCUGGUAGAACUUUUAAGAGAGAGGAAGGAAGGGACUGAAGGGAGGAAGGGUUAUAGAGAGGGAAGGAGGGGAGGGAAAGAGAGAGGGAAAAGAGAGAUUGUUAGUUGGUUGGUUGGUUAGUUUUGAUAGUGGGGAUAAAUUCUGAGUUCAAAGGUUUAAGAACAACUGGUUUAUGAAUCAUUUCUGAUUGCAGUGGAGACAAUGGCCUCCCUUUCCUCCUGGUAGAGGAAUUCUUUCUAUAAGUAAUUGAAGUUGGAGGGAUCCCUGGGUGGCGCAGCGGUUUGGCGCCUGCCUUUGGCCCGGGGCGCGAUCCUGGAGACCCAGGAUCGAAUCCCACGUCGGGCUCCCGGUGCAUGGAGCCUGCUUCUCCCUCUGCCUGUGUCUCUGCCUCUCUCCCUCUCUCUGUGUGACUAUCAUAAAUAAAUAAAAAUUAAAAAAAAAAAAAGUAAUUGAA
RNAcentral lists this long non-coding RNA (2635 nucleotides) under Canis lupus dingo (dingo). RNAcentral describes it as "lncRNA (ENSCAFG00020010189.1)". The record is from RNAcentral. Lineage: Eukaryota; Metazoa; Chordata; Mammalia; Carnivora; Canidae.